UGAUUUGAAAUGAACAAUGCCUGUAGGGUUAUCAGAAUAAAAACAGGUAUAAACUACCUUGAUACCGGAAUAAAACGAUCGGGAAAGCGGUGCCAUAAUCCGUACCGCCUUACCAACCUCAGUCAAAAGUAUAAGUUUUCUUAUUUCACAACUCAUUGGGCAAUAGCCCAGCAUUCCCUGUCGAAAUGCAGAUUAAAUAUGUCAUUAUCACAGGCCAAUGGGAGGUGUUUCACGAAAACCGGGAAAAGCGAAUUUCUGCCUUAUAAACACCGGAAUACAGACCAUUAGCGCCCGAUUUCGAAUAGGUAAAUCCCUACUUUCCAUGACAUAAAUAAAGGACAAAACGCCGAGCCAUCAGUAUGACGGCACAGCGUUUUGUGUUACUGCCUACAUGCAGGUUAAUGCUGUAACGAACGACUUUAAUUC
Molecule: non-coding RNA, 426 nt
Filed under: Pectobacterium atrosepticum SCRI1043
Lineage: Bacteria; Pseudomonadati; Pseudomonadota; Gammaproteobacteria; Enterobacterales; Pectobacteriaceae
Description: Soft rot Enterobacteriaceae Rev 72 asRNA
Rfam family: Soft rot Enterobacteriaceae Rev 72 asRNA
About the family: From bacteria cultured under starvation conditions.
Source: Rfam by way of RNAcentral